RNAcentral lists this ribosomal RNA (224 nucleotides) under uncultured bacterium. Its description in RNAcentral is "partial 16S ribosomal RNA". It matches the Rfam family "Bacterial small subunit ribosomal RNA", at positions 593 to 793 of the family's 1533-position model. The record is from RNAcentral.
AGUUAAGUCAGAUGUAGAAACGGCCCGGGGUACUUAACCGUACGGUAAUUGCUAUUUAGAAACGUGGCGAGGCUAGAGUCUUGUAGAGGGGGUAGAAUUUCAGGUGUAGCGGUGAAAUGCGUAGAGAUCUGAAGGAAUACCAGUGGCGAAGGCGGCCCCCUGGACAAAGACUGACGCUCAGAUGCGAAAGCGUGGGGAGCAAACAGGAUUAGAUACCCUGGUAG